UACGUAGGGUGCAAGCGUUGUCCGGAUUUAUUGGGCGUAAAGGGCGCGUAGGCGGCCUUCUAAGUCGAACGUGAAAUCCCCGGGCUCAACCCGGGAACUGCGUCCGAUACUGGAAGGCUUGAAUCCGGGAGAGGGAUGCGGAAUUCCAGGUGUAGCGGUGAAAUGCGUAGAUAUCUGGAGGAACACCGGUGGCGAAGGCGGCAUCCUGGACCGGCAUUGACGCUGAGGCGCGAAAGCCAGGGGAGCAAAGCGGG
Molecule: ribosomal RNA, 254 nt
Filed under: uncultured bacterium
Lineage: Bacteria
Description: partial 16S ribosomal RNA
Rfam family: Bacterial small subunit ribosomal RNA
Source: RNAcentral